Molecule: ribosomal RNA, 504 nt
Filed under: uncultured bacterium
Lineage: Bacteria
Description: partial 16S ribosomal RNA
Rfam family: Bacterial small subunit ribosomal RNA
Source: RNAcentral
AUUGAACGCUGGCGGCAUGCCUUACACAUGCAAGUCGAACGGCAGCAUGGAGAGCUUGCUCUCUGAUGGCGAGUGGCGAACGGGUGAGUAAUGCAUCGGAACGUACCGUGUAAUGGGGGAUAAUGUAGCGAAAGUUACGCUAAUACCGCAUACGACCUGAGGGUGAAAGCAGGGGAUCGCAAGACCUUGCGUUAUACGAGCGGCCGAUGUCAGAUUAGCUAGUUGGUGGGGUAAAGGCUCACCAAGGCGACGAUCUGUAGCGGGUCUGAGAGGAGGAUCCGCCAGACUGGGACUGAGACACGGCCCAGACUCCUACGGGAGGCAGCAGUGGGGAAUGUUGGACAAUGGGGGCAACCCUGAUCCAGCCAUGCCGCGUGAGUGAAGAAGGCCUUCGGGUUGUAAAGCUCUUUCGGCCGGGAAGAAAUCGCACAGGCUAAUACUCUGUGUGGAUGACGGUACCGGCAUAAGAAGCACCGGCUAACUACGUGCCAGCAGCCGCGGUAA